UGGGGAAUAUUGCGCAAUGGGCGAAAGCCUGACGCAGCAACGCCGCGUGAGUGAUGAAGGCCUUCGGGUCGUAAAGCUCUGUCGGAGGGAACGAAUGCUCUUGAGGUUAACAGCCUCGGGAGGUGACGGUACCCUCAAAGGAAGCACCGGCUAACUCUGUGCCAGCAGCCGCGGUAAUACAGAGGGUGCAAGCGUUGCUCGGAAUCAUUGGGCGUAAAGGGCGUGUAGGCGGUAUGUUAAGUCAUGUGUGAAAUCCCUCGGCUCAACCGGGGAACGACGCAUGAAACUAGCAAGCUAGAGUACCAAAGAGGGUGGUGGAAUUCCCAGUGUAGAGGUGAAAUUCGUAGAUAUUGGGAAGAACACCAGUGGCGAAGGCGGCUAACUGGUCCGGUACUGACGCUGAGGUGCGAAAGCGUGGGGAGCAAACAGGAUUAGAUACCCGUGUAGUCCCUGAGCGGGCUGGCAAGGCGCAU
RNAcentral lists this ribosomal RNA (473 nucleotides) under uncultured bacterium. RNAcentral describes it as "bacterial SSU rRNA". It matches the Rfam family "Bacterial small subunit ribosomal RNA", at positions 355 to 825 of the family's 1533-position model. The record is from RNAcentral.